RNAcentral lists this ribosomal RNA (442 nucleotides) under uncultured bacterium. Its description in RNAcentral is "partial 16S ribosomal RNA". It matches the Rfam family "Bacterial small subunit ribosomal RNA", at positions 338 to 795 of the family's 1533-position model. The record is from RNAcentral.
CCUACGGGUGGCAGCAGUGGGGAAUAUUGGGCAAUGGGCGCAAGCCUGACCCAGCAAUGCCGCGUGAAGGAAGAAGGCUUUCGGGUUGUAAACUUCUUUGACAGGGGAAGAGCAGAAGACGGUACCCUGAAAACAAGCCACGGCUAACUACGUGCCAGCAGCCGCGGUAAUACGUAGGUGGCAAGCGUUGUCCGGAUUUACGGGGGGUAAAGGGCGUGUAGCCGGGAAGGCAAGUCAGAUGUGAAAUCUGGAGGCUCAACCUCCAAAUUGCAUUUGAAACUGCUUUUCUUGAGUACUGGAGGGGCAGACGGAAUUCCUUGUGUAGCGGUGAAAUGCGUAGAGAUAAGGAGGAACACCAGUGGCGAAGGCGGUCUGCUGGACAGCAACUGACGGUGAGGCGCGAAAGCGUGGGGAGCAAACAGGAUUAGAUACCCCUGUAGUC